RNAcentral lists this ribosomal RNA (500 nucleotides) under uncultured bacterium. RNAcentral's name for it is "partial 16S ribosomal RNA". It matches the Rfam family "Bacterial small subunit ribosomal RNA", at positions 28 to 507 of the family's 1533-position model. The record is from RNAcentral.
GACGAACGCUGGCGGCGUGCCUAAUACAUGCAAGUCGUGCGGACCUUGUUGAAAGCUUGCUUUUAAAAGGUUAGCGGCGGACGGGUGAGUAACACGUGGGCAACCUGCCUGUAAGACUGGGAUAACGCCGGGAAACCGGGGCUAAUACCAGAUCGUUUUUUCCUCCGCAUGGAGGAAAAAGGAAAGGCGGCUUCGGCUGCCACUUACAGAUGGGCCCGCGGCGCAUUAGCUUGUUGGCGGGGUAAUGGCCCACCAAGGCAACGAUGCGUAGCCGACCUGAGAGGGUGAUCGGCCACAUUGGGACUGAGACACGGCCCAAACUCCUACGGGAGGCAGCAGUAGGGAAUCUUCCGCAAUGGACGAAAGUCUGACGGAGCAACGCCGCGUGAGUGAAGAAGGCCUUCGGGUCGUAAAACUCUGUUGCCGGGGAAGAACAAGUGCCGUUCGAACAGGGCGGCGCCUUGACGGUACCCGGCCAGAAAGCCACGGCUAACUACGUG